Molecule: ribosomal RNA, 790 nt
Filed under: uncultured bacterium
Lineage: Bacteria
Description: bacterial SSU rRNA
Rfam family: Bacterial small subunit ribosomal RNA
Source: RNAcentral
AGAGUUUGAUCAUGGCUCAGAUUGAACGCUGGCGGCAUGCCUUACACAUGCAAGUCGAACGGCAGCACGGGGGCAACCCUGGUGGCGAGUGGCGAACGGGUGAGUAAUGCAUCGGAACGUGUCCUGUUGUGGGGGAUAACCAGUCGAAAGAUUGGCUAAUACCGCAUGAGAUCGAGAGAUGAAAGCGGGGGACCGCAAGGCCUCGCGCGAUAGGAGCGGCCGAUGCCGGAUUAGCUAGUUGGCGGGGUAAAAGCCCACCAAGGCGACGAUCUGUAGCUGGUCUGAGAGGAUGAUCAGCCACACUGGGACUGAGACACGGCCCAGACUCCUACGGGAGGCAGCAGUGGGGAAUUUUGGACAAUGGGCGCAAGCCUGAUCCAGCCAUGCCGCGUGUGUGAAGAAGGCCUUCGGGUUGUAAAGCACUUUCGGCCGGAACGAAAUCGCGCGGGUGAAUAAUCCGCGUGGAUGACGGUACCGGAAGAAGAAGCACCGGCUAACUACGUGCCAGCAGCCGCGGUAAUACGUAGGGUGCGAGCGUUAAUCGGAAUUACUGGGCGUAAAGGGUGCGCAGGCGCUUCGCAUGUCAGAUGUGAAAUCCCCGAGCUUAACUUGGGAAUUGCAUUUGAAACUACGAGGCUGGAGUGCGGCAGAGGGAGGUGGAAUUCCACGUAGCGGUGAAAUGCGUAGAGAUGUGGAGGAACACCGAUGGCGAAGGCAGCCUCCUGGGCCGACACUGACGCUCAUGCACGAAAGCGUGGGGAGCAAACAGGAUUAGAUACCCUAGUAGUCC